RNAcentral lists this ribosomal RNA (274 nucleotides) under uncultured bacterium. Its description in RNAcentral is "partial 16S ribosomal RNA". It matches the Rfam family "Bacterial small subunit ribosomal RNA", at positions 523 to 796 of the family's 1533-position model. The record is from RNAcentral.
AUACGGGGGGUGCAAGCGUUAUUCGGAUUUAUUGGGCGUAAAGAGCGCGUAGGCGGCUUGGUAAGUCAGAUGUGAAAGCCCGGGGCCCAACCCCGGAAGUGCAUUUGAAACUAUCAGGCUUGAGUAUGGGAGAGGGAAGUGGAAUUCCUGGUGUAGAGGUGAAAUUCGUAGAUAUCAGGAGGAACACCGGUGGCGAAGGCGACUUCCUGGACCAAUACUGACGCUGAGGCGCGAAGGCGUGGGGAGCAAACAGGAUUAGAAACCCCAGUAGUCC